This 9384-nucleotide long non-coding RNA is filed under the name Theobroma cacao (cacao). RNAcentral describes it as "long non-coding RNA (TCAC_LNC003991)". Lineage: Eukaryota; Viridiplantae; Streptophyta; Magnoliopsida; Malvales; Malvaceae. The record is from RNAcentral.
UAAAGUGACUCUUGAUUAUUCUUAUGAUUGUUGGAGUCACUUUAAUCUCCGUAAAAAUACUAUAUUGUAAUUACAAUGCAUAACAAAACUCAUAUUCAUAAUUAUUUAAGCAAUAUAAUGAAAUAUUAGGCAUAUCGAAAUUACCUAACUUUAAGAGGACUAAAACGUAUACGUCAAUCUAGACCAGUAAGAGUGGGUAAGCCUACAUUGGGCCCUUGACCCCUCAACUAUGGUGUCGAGCAAGAGGUACCUUCACCUCAAUCAUUAACAAUAGAUGUACCAGCUUCUGGUGUCAAAGCUAAUUGAGGUUGCACCAAUAAUGAUUGAGUCGCUGAAUUAGUGGAUGGUGGUACUUAAAGAUCCACCGUCGAAGUGGAUGUUGCCAACAUUGGUGAUUAUGUAAGCUACAGCUACUCAUUCGAACUUUGUGCAGCACUCAACUAUCCUCAAUGUUCGCUAUGCUUAACUUUAACCAUGACUGGAUAAUCAGUCAUUGAAGGAAAAAUAAUUCAUGAGGAAAUUCAAAUAGUAUUAGGGAAAACACGAAAAAUAACAUAUCCAACAAUUCAUAAACAAUUCAUGCAAAACAAUGUGGUAGCUUGUAAAGAUAUUAGCACAUAGACAUAUAUCCAACAAGAAAAAAAAAAUUAGCAACUCAAACAAACGAGAAAAUUGUACAGUAUAUUCCACCAAACACAUUUGUCAACCUUUUCAAUGCAAAUUAAAUUGAAGAAAAUAUAGUAUAUGCAAUAGGCUUCAAAGAAACGUAUACUUGGUUUAAGUUGGCCAUGAAGCAGACAGAUAUGGAUGUAAGUACAUGCAUGUCUAAUGGAUUUAAACUGUGCUCGCUGGGUUUUUCACUUACACACUAGAAAUGUAGUAACAUUAACUAUUAGUGGUAUUGAAGAAGACACAUAGGAAGAUUGAUGGAGCACAUUAUGCGAAGAUGAUAACACAUCAAACAAAUAUCUUUCACAACUGACCAUUUUUCAUCAAAUUGCAUUUGCUUAUAGAAAAUCCAAAAUGACAUCAAAUAAACCAAAAUAAAAUGCAAGAUUAACUUGUUGGAAAAAGAAACUUAAGGGGAACUAGAUGAGGUUCAGUGUUGUUAAAGAGAUGCAAGUUUCCUUUUUGAAGGAAAAGUAUAUUAAAAUGUAUAAAAUGUAAUCACAAACUGCAUAGGCUCAAAAUAAAGGGAAACAAGGUUACUAGGGAGAGAAAAAGAGUUGAGCUUUGAUUGGGAAUCUUGAAGGCAAGAAACAGAAAUGGGCAAAUUUGGUAGCUGAAAGAAAGAGGUUUCUUUAAGAUGUUGGGCAAGUCUAAUACCAAAGAUCGAUAGAAAAGAUACGUAACAAUUUUGUUUUGCAAUUUCAGUUUUGGAAGUUGAGUUAAGGUGGAGAUUGCGGCAAAAGGAUGAGUUCCAUGAGAUUCUUGUCAUUAGUUGAGGUCCAUUGGACAAUUUGCAGAUGAGCUAGUGGAAGCUAAAGGUGAGGCAACUAAGGUAAAAGAAAAGGCUAGUAGGAAAAUGAAAUAGGGAAGCCCUAAACUAAUUUUCUGUUUGUGUUUAUGCAUUUCUUUUUCAUUCAAUAUAAAUAAAUUUUCUUGUUUGGGUUUUGGUUUAUGAGGAAAGGAAAGAUUUUGUAUACACUGAUACCCAGUGAUAGAUAAAUAGAUAGAUAGAUAGAUAGGUGACCCCUGCUCUAGCAUUCUGCUCAACAUGGUGGCAUGCAAUGAUAUCCAUAUCAUCAAAAAAAAAAAAUCAACAAGAAAGCACCCCUGCACAUAAACAAAUUUUGCAAAAAAGUAACACCCUUGCACAUAUACUAAUUCUGCAUUGAGAUAAGAGAUAUUAAAUCCAUACUCUUUAAACUACUAUUAAUUAGAUAAGGAAUAAAUUUAUUGAAGUGUUAGUUUGGUCAACUUCACAAAACUAUCAUAAAAAGUUCGAAUUGAUUUUUAAUAAUUGAUGUUACAAAAAAUGAACAUGCAAUUUAUUCUAUAUUUUUAAUUAGACAAACAAGUCAUAUUGAGAAAUGACAAAUAUCAACUAUUCAAAAACCAAAGACAAACAAAAAUGAAAAACCAAAAGGAAUAGUACAUUGAUAAAAUACUUUCACACAAAUUUAGAAAGAGAGCACUUAAAUAAUAAAAAAAUUAUAAAAUAGUACUAGUUGAGCAUACUAAGUAGAUUCUAGUUAUUUAACAUUGUCAAUAGUUUUUCAUUGAGAAUAUGUGUUUAGUGAUUAACAAAACAACUAAAUGCAUUGAGGAAAAAAAAUAAAUUUUAUUUUAAAAAUAUUCAUUAGUUUAUCAAACAAUUAUAAGCAUUGAUAUAUAUAUAUAUAUAUUUCAAAAGUUUCCUCAAACUUUUUCAACAACAAUUAAACAUUGUCCUGUAUUUAAUUACUGGGAUUACUAACAGGCAUGGUUCAAUACUUUCCUUUUUAACAAUAAACAUAACCGACAUUCUUGGUUAAUGUUUUUUAAAUUUGGAAGCAAAUAUAAAUUUUUCGCAUGGUUUUCACAUUGGUGGAAUUGGUUUGGUUCUUUAAGGGAGAUACUUCCCUAAAAAAUUGAUAAUUUAUAUAAAAAAAUUUCUGAUAAGUUCCAACCAGAACCAAACUAGCAAAACUUACAUGUUUCAAUACAUUUUUCCUCCAAAUUGACUUUACCAUGGAUCACAUCAUGGGAUUACGCCUAUGAUACUGACCCCCACUCUGGAGCACUAGUAGUCACCAAAAUUUUCAAGAUUAAAUGGUGGGAGAAAUUCGAUGAACGAAAAUAUGACAACCACUUCCUCGAAGCAUGGUUCGAGAAAAACCCAAAACUCUGCAAAAAUGCCCAAGUAUCACAGAAAAAUGCAAGAUUCCUCCAGGCCAAGUCCAAUGCAAGCGCAUUACUUGCUCAGGUAAAAACCAAGAUGAAGUAUAAGAGAAUAAUGGCAGAAAUGCUCAGCUCUUUCGACUUUGAUAAAGAACAUGAACCAGAAGAUACUGCUUCAUCCAAAGAAACAACAGAUCUUACUCAAGACGAAGACUAUAUUCCUCUAAGAAGAAAGAAAUGAAGAAACAGCCAAAAAGCAACUAAAAGCACUAUGAAAAAGCAAUGUCGACCAAAACAACCAAAAACAGAAGAAUAAACCAAAAAUAGCCGAAAGCACUCUGAAAAAGCAGUGUCGACCAAAACAGCCCAAAAGUAGAAGGAUCCAUAAAAAGCAACUGAAAGCAUUUUGAAAAGCAAAAAAAAACAAGUUCACAAGCCAAACAGUGAAAGCAGCGGCCAAAAGCAAAUUCAAAUGUAAUGAAAAUAUAAUGAAAAUUCACAUGUAAAUGUAAAAUCUACUGCCUAUAUAAAGGCUCAGAUUUAAUAUCAGAGCAAGAGUCCCUUAAGACCAAAAACUUUAAGUCUAUGAAAGUUUUAAACUUUCUCCAAAACCCUUUUUAAUAUUUGUAUCCCAAUUAUCCAUUUCUAAUAAAAUAUUUUCAUUAAAAUAUUUUUCGGUGCCGAUCUUAGUCGCUUUUAGUAUUAGAGCCAUACCGGAACAAAAGGUAUUUAUUUUAAGAUUCAAGUAUUUUGCUACUUUCACUUUGUUUUCUGAGUUUUGGUUUUAACUGAUUGGUUGGUGCUAUAUUAAUUCUUGCUGAGUUAUUGGGAAAUCAGUCUAUUGAGUUGUGGGUUAGGCGUUUUAGGACACAGUUUUACCCCUAUACGCAGAAGAAAUAUAUUAUCACCAGAACAGUAGAAACCCCAUAUGUAGGAAAACAAUUUGAUAAAACAAGAUGCUUCCAUUUUUAAGAACUACUUUUUGUUCUUGUUCAAACUCUAACCAAACCCAAACCGUCAACGAGAAAAAUAUUCAUUAUGAAAAUAUUAUACAAGAAAUAGAUAAUUGGGAAAUUUCAAAAGUUCCUCAAAAACAAAUUUAUAAAUCUUCAACAUUUCAUUCUCUUUAUUUAAAUUCCUUUUGUGGGUAUUUAAUCAAAACUAAAGAAAAAUGAAUACCCAUCCAAAAUCAGUAUGAAAAUAUCCAAUUACUGGAUCAAGAUACAAUCCAAAAACUUAGAAGUCAAAAGUAUAAUUAUAUACACUAUGGAUUAGUACAAAUAGGAAUUGAUGCUGCAAAGUCUUAAAAGUGUGUAAUAUACAUUUUCAAGUAGCUUUUUAAAGUGUAUAAUUAUAUACACUUUUAAUUCUUGUAUGUCUUUGUGAUCCAGAAAAAGAUGUAAUAUUACAAGAAUAUUACAGUUUUAUGAACAAAUACAAAAUCUUAAUAGAAUUCUUUGAAUAGUUUGAAAAUCAUUAUAAACCAGUAUCAAUAAAUACUAUAAAAAACACUAAUAAAUGGCAAGCUAAUAAAGGUGAAAUUGAAUCUCAACAUCCUCCUUUGACAAAAAUUCAAUAUUCUCACAAAAAUAUAAGAAUAAAGGCAACUCCGUUAAGAAUGAGAGCAUCAGACUUAAGAGAAGCUGUUUCCUUAAGAGAUGUAAAAAUGAUAAUUGAACAAAAUAAUUACACAAAUUUAAAUCUACAUACCAUUUCAAAACAACUAGAAAACAUAGAAACUAUGGUUGAAAACCAACCCAAAAUCAUGCAAGACUUGCCAACAAAAACACAAAAUAUUAAGACUGCAGAACUAGUUUUUAAACCCUUUGAAAGUCCAAAAAGAUAUCAUCAAGAACAAUAAAAUCAGUUCUUAAAAGAAAUAUAGGAUCGAAUUGAUGUUUUAGAAAGCUAAAAUUCAGGAAUAGUAAUUCCAGAAACACCAACACAACAAUCCCACACAAUUAAUAUGAUAGAUGACCAAAUAGACUCACAAAGUUAUUCAGAAGAAUCUGAUAACCAACAAAUUAAUAAAGUGAUUUGGAAAGAAUCUCAAAAAUAUUAUUAUCCGAAAAUAACAACACCAGACUUAAAUAUGGAAGAAAAACCCAUAUUUCAAAAUAAAUACAAUGCCAAUACUAUUUAUGAGUGGAAUAUUGAUGGUAUGUCUGAAUAUAAUAUCCUUAGUACACUCCAACAAAUGACAAUGGUUUCAAAUGUAUACAAAACUCAAAACCAAACUGGUCAAAUUACAGAUCAUGCUAUAGCAAAGCUUUUAGCUGUUGGAUUCACAAGACAAUUAAAAGGAUGGUGGGAUAACUAUCUUACAGCAAACCGACAACAAGAGAUAUUAAAAGCUACAAAAAAAAAUAAUGAUGGUCAUAGUAUUUUAGACAACCAUGGAAGAGAAAUUCAAGAUACUGUUGCCACCCUCAUUUUCUCAAUAUCAAAACACUUUAUAGGAGAUCCUUCUCAUCUUAAAGACAAAAAUUCUGAAUUAUUAUCAAAUUUAAAAUGCAAAAAAUUAACAGAUUUCAAAUGGUACAAAGACAUGUUUAUGACAAGAGUAAUGCAAAGAUUUGAUAAUAAUCAACCUUCUUGGAAAAAAAAAUUUUUAACUGGACUUCUUACUUUAUUAGGAAAGAAAGUUAGAAAUCAAAUAAAAGAAACUUACAAAGGUAUACUACCUUAUGAAAAUCUUACAUAUGGUGAACUCAUAAGUUUCACUCAAAAAGAAAGGUUAAAAAUCUGCCAAGAUUUAAAACUCCAAAAACAAAUUAAAAAAGAAAGAAAAUUGUACACUAAGAAUUAUGAUAAUUUUGCUAACAAUUUGACAUUAGAAAUGAAUAUUCUUCAAAACCUUGUUGCUCUGCAAAACCAAAACAAAGAACAUCAUCAAUGUAUACUAUUGUGAAUUGCGAACAUUACAGUUUGAGUGAAACACCAAGACUUCUUUUUAUGAACUAUUCUUGAAUAUUUUUGUAAUAUUUCAUCUUGUAAUAUUCUUUUUAUGAAGUCUUCAAAACCCUAAUACUAUGCAAGAUAUGGUGGGAUCUUGUAUUUAUGAAGAUUCUGAGAUGUUUGUAAUGGUUUUCUAGAUUUCCUGAGAAAAUUAGAACAUCAUCAAUGUAUACUAUUGUGAAUUGGGAAUAUCAGUUGAAUAUUUCAUUCAUUAUUUUUUGAAAUUUUGAUGGGGCAUUUUUUAAUCCAAAAGGCAUAACAUUCCAUUCAUAUUGUCCAAAAGAGACUGUGAAUGCUGUUUUAUACCUUUCGGUUUUUUUGAUUUGGAUUUGCCAAAAUCCUGAUUUCAUGUCAAAUUUUGAGAAGAUUUUUGCAUUACAAAGUUUUUGUAAUAAAUCUUUUUUAGUUAGAAUUGGAUAUUUGAUCCAUUCUAAUGUUUUGUUUAGAUGUUUAUAAUUGAUUACUAGUUUUGGUGUUCCUCUUUCAAUUUCUGCAUUUUUGAUUACAUAAAAAGCAGAGCAGCUCCAAAGAGAGUUACUCUUUAUGAUGAGUUUUUUAUUUAAUAAAUCUUGAAUUUUUUUCUGCAAUAUUCUUCCAUUUCUUUAUUCAUUUGGAUAGCUCUGGCUUUUGUAGGGAUAUGUUUUUCAUUGAAAUCUUUUGCAUAAGGUAAUGUUACCUCAUGUUUUUUCAUAUUCCAAAAUGCAUUAGGGAUAUUAGAACAAAUUGAGUUUUCUAUGUUAUUUUUUAUUUGGUUUAUUUUUUCUUUAAUUUCAUCUGUUAUUAAUUGUUGGUUUAUUCUUUCAAAGGAAAUUUCAUUUUUUAAAUAGGUGAUUUGGUUUUGUUUGUAAUUAAUUAGCAUAUUGAUUUCAUCUGUGUGUAUUGAUAAUGAUUUUAAUAAAUUGAUAUUUUUAAUUCUUGGUUUUUCUAUGAAAGGAAAACUGAUUUUAGUUUUUAGUAUCUUGGUAGUUAUUGCUUGAUGAGUGACUUUGUAAGGUUUUAAUAUUGAUAUAAAUGGUGUACCUAAAACAACAUCUUGAGUUAUAUUUUUGACCAUUAAAAAGGGUGUUUUGAAUUUAAUUCCUUGGUUGCAAAUUUCUGCUUUUGAUAUUUUAUAUGUGAUUUUGAGUUUUCCACCAUUAGCCAUUUUGAGUCCUUCUAUUGUUUUGUCAUAAUAUUUUGUCGGUAUUAAUCCCUUCCUUAUAUAAUUUUGAUCUGCACCUGUGUCUAAUAGUGCUAUUGUUUCUAGUUGGAACUCAUUAUUAAUUGGGAGUUUUAUUUUUAUUAAAUAUCUUUGGAUGGAUACUUCAGUGAGAACCUUCAUAUAUUCUUGCGUGUUCUGAAUUUUUUGGUUUUAGGUGUCUGAAAAAAAUUGUUCAUUUGGGGUUUCUGUAUUUUUGAAAAUUUCAAUAUGUUGUUUAAUGCUUUGUUGUUCUUUUUUGAGUUUGGAGAUUUCUUGUUUUAUGAUUUUUAUUUCUGAAUGUAAUUCUGUUUUGGUUAUCUUUUUUGGUUUUGUGUUUUCAUAUUUAUCGAAUAUAAUGUUUUUAAUGUUAUAGAUUGGUUCAUGAUUUAACAAGUUAGCUUUUUUAGGUUUUUCUUUUAUUGAGUCUUUUAGCUUUUCAAGAUAUUCAUUCUUUAAAACUGGGUCUUUUAUUUUGUCAAUAAUUUCAAUCAUAAAUUCUUGGUCUUUUGUUAGUACAUGAAUUAGAUUUUUACUUUCUUUUGAAGAUUGGGAUGUUGUUUGUAUUUCAUCUAUUUGUAGGUUUUCUGAAGAUGCACUGUUUGUAAGUGUCACUAUCGGAUGUAGAUUCUAAGAGUAUUUCAUUGAGUUUUUGUUCAAUCUCUUCUCCUAAUUGGAGUUGAUUAAUUUUUCUUUUUAUUUUACAAUAUUUUGAGAUGUGACUAGUUUUUCCACAUCUAAAACAUUUUAUUGUUUUAUCUAUUUUAACUGGUUCUUUUUGUUUUUGUUUUGUUUUCCUAUAUUUUUUGUAUUUUGGAAUCUUAUAGUAAUUUGGAAGGUUGUUCUUAUGCCUUCUUUGUUUUGAUUUUGCAGAGCAACAGGGUUUUGAAAGAAGAUUCAUUUCUAAUGUCAAAUUGUUGACAGAAUGAUCCUAAUUCCUUGGCGUAUAAUUUUUUGAAAUUUGUUAAUAUUUUCAUAAUGAAUAUUUUUCUCGUUAACGGUUUGGGUUUGGUUAAAGUUUGAACUAGAACAAGAAGUAGUUCUUAAAAAUGGAAGCAUCUUGUUUUAUCAAAUUGUUUUCCUAAAUAGGGGAUUUCUACUGUUCUGGUGAAAAGUUGUGUCCUAAAAUGCCUAACCCAUGGCUUAAUAGAUUGAUUUCUCAAUAACUUAGCAAGAAUUAAUAUAGUACCAGCCAAUCAGUUAAAACCAAAACUCGAAAAACAAAGUGAAAGUAACAAAAUACUUGAAUCUUAAAGAAAAUAUUCUUUGUUCUUGUGUGGCUCUGAUACCAAAAGCGAUCAAGAUUAACACCGAAAAAUAUUUUAAUGAAAAUAUUUUAUUAGAAAUGGAUAAUUAUGAUACAAAAUAUUAAAAAGGGUUUUGGUGAAAGUUUAAGACUUUCCCAAACUUAAAAUUUUUGGUCUUAAGGGACUCUUGCUCUAAUAUUGAAUCUGAGCCUUUAUAUAGGCAGUAGAUUUUACAUUUAUAUGUGAAUUUUUAUUUCAUUUUCAUUACAUUUGAAUUUGCUUUUGGCCAUUGCUUUCACUGUUUGGUUUGUGAACUUGCUUUUUUCUGCUUUUCAAAAUGCUUUCAGCUGCUUUUUAUGGAUCCUUAUACUUUUGGGCUGUUUUGGUCGACACUGCUUUUUUAGAGUGUUUUUCGCUAUUUUUGGGGGAUUCAGACACAGUUUUCCCCCUGUAGGCAGAAGAAAUAUAUUAUCACCAAAACAGUAGAAACCCCUUAUGUAGGAAAACAUAUAUAUAUAUAUACAUAAAAGAGUGGCAUAUCUCUUUAUUGACUUGUAAUUUAUGAGGGGUUUGUUUUUUGUUUUUCGUGUAGAUUGUUUCAUAAACUAAUUAGUCAAAUAUUUUAAUAUACAUUGAUUUUACAUUUUUAAUAUAAAAAUGUGAUUGCAUAAAGUUUUCUUUGGACAAAUGGUUUAAAUUAAUUCUUUUCAAAAAUGAAAGUAUUUAGAAGUUCUACAUUCCGAUAUCUCAAGGUGAUAGUAUAUAUUUAUGUUUAAGAUUAACAAUUUCAAAUAGAGCAAGUCAACAAUUGGUUUCAAUCUUGCAUGCUAGGGUUUUCUUAAAAUUUGUAAGGCUAGUCUUUAGAGAAAUUUAUGUGUAGUUUACUUGAUGGGAGCAUUACAGAAACCAAGAAACAUAUCAACAUUCAAGAAUUGACAAACGAGAAGGAGAUAUUGUAAAUAUUUAAUAAAAUUUCUAUGACAUGCAAGCAUUCAUUACACAAAUUCUUAAUCACCAUCCAUUCAUUCGUUGCAGAAACUACAACAUAAAGAUGCAAACAGUAUCAGAAAUAACACAAGUAAGAAAUUACCAUAGGGAUAGGGAUGCUUGGUUGACGGUUGGGUAGGGUGGGUUAGCGAUGGGGGAAAGUGGGUAGGCAGUAGAGAUGCUUAAGGGGUC